RNAcentral lists this ribosomal RNA (528 nucleotides) under uncultured bacterium. Its description in RNAcentral is "partial 16S ribosomal RNA". It matches the Rfam family "Bacterial small subunit ribosomal RNA", at positions 355 to 899 of the family's 1533-position model. The record is from RNAcentral.
UGGGGAAUAUUGGACAAUGGGGGCAACCCUGAUCCAGCAAUGCCGCGUGUGUGAAGAAGGUCUUCGGAUUGUAAAGCACUUUCGACGGGGACGAUGAUGACGGUACCCGUAGAAGAAGCCCCGGCUAACUUCGUGCCAGCAGCCGCGGUAAUACGAAGGGGGCUAGCGUUGCUCGGAAUGACUGGGCGUAAAGGGCGUGUAGGCGGUUUACACAGUCAGAUGUGAAAUCCCCGGGCUUAACCUGGGAGCUGCAUUUGAUACGUGUAGACUAGAGUGUGAGAGAGGGUUGUGGAAUUCCCAGUGUAGAGGUGAAAUUCGUAGAUAUUGGGAAGAACACCGGUGGCGAAGGCGGCAACCUGGCUCAUGACUGACGCUGAGGCGCGAAAGCGUGGGGAGCAAACAGGAUUAGAUACCCUGGUAGUCCACGCCUGUAAACGAUGUGUGCUAGAUGUUGGGUAACUUUGUUAUUCAGUGUCGCAGUUAACGCGUUAAGCACACCGCCUGGGGAGUACGGCCGCAAGGUUGAAA